AGCAGCCGCGGUAAUUCCAGCUCCAAUAGCGUAUAUUAAAGUUGUUGCAGUUAAAAAGCUCGUAGUUGAAUUUCGGGAUCAAUAUUUCGGUCAUGCCGUUGGUAUGCACUGUUAUCAUUGAUUUCUCACCUUCUAAAGAACCGUAAUGCCAUUAAUUUGGUGUUACGGGGAAUUAGGACUGUUACCUUGAAAAAAUUAGAGUGUUUAAAGCAGGCUCACGCUUGAAUACAUUAGCAUGGAAUAAUGAAAUAGGACAUCCGAUUCUAUUUUGUUGGUUUCUAGGAUCGAUGUAAUGAUUAAUAGGGAUAGUUGGGGGCAUUAGUAUUCAAUUGUCAGAGGUGAAAUUCUUGGAUUUAUUGAAGACUAACUACUGCGAAAGCAUUUGCCAAGGAUGUUUUCAUUAAUCAAGAACGAAAGUUAGGGGAUCGAAGACGAUCAGAUACCGUCGUAGUCUUAACCAUAAACUAUGCCGACUAGGGAUCGGAUGAUGUUAAUUUUUUAAUGACUCAUUCGGCGCCUUACG
RNAcentral lists this ribosomal RNA (523 nucleotides) under uncultured Glomus. Its description in RNAcentral is "SSU rRNA". It matches the Rfam family "Eukaryotic small subunit ribosomal RNA", at positions 569 to 1092 of the family's 1831-position model. The record is from RNAcentral. Lineage: Eukaryota; Fungi; Glomeromycota; Glomeromycetes; Glomerales; Glomeraceae. RNAcentral also lists the same sequence under 1 other name.